RNAcentral lists this ribosomal RNA (497 nucleotides) under uncultured bacterium. RNAcentral's name for it is "partial 16S ribosomal RNA". It matches the Rfam family "Bacterial small subunit ribosomal RNA", at positions 28 to 507 of the family's 1533-position model. The record is from RNAcentral.
GAUGAACGCUGGCGGCGUGCCUAAUACAUGCCAGUCGAGCGAACGGACGAGAAGCUUGCUUCUCUGAUGUUAGCGGCGGACGGGUGAGUAACACGUGGAUAACCUACCUAUAAGACUGGGAUAACUUCGGGAAACCGGAGCUAAUACCGGAUGAUAUUUUGAACCGCAUGGUUCAAAAGUGAAAGACGGUCUUGCUGUCACUUAUAGAUGGAUCCGCGCUGCAUUAGCUAGUUGGUAAGGUAACGGCUUACCAAGGCAACGAUGCAUAGCCGACCUGAGAGGGUGAUCGGCCACACUGGAACUGAGACACGGUCCAGACUCCUACGGGAGGCAGCAGUAGGGAAUCUUCCGCAAUGGGCGAAAGCCUGACGGAGCAACGCCGCGUGAGUGAUGAAGGUCUUCGGAUCGUAAAACUCUGUUAUUAGGGAAGAACAUAUGUGUAAGUAACUGUGCACAUCUUGACGGUACCUAAUCAGAGAGCCACGGCAAACUACGUG